This 251-nucleotide ribosomal RNA is filed under the name uncultured soil bacterium. Its description in RNAcentral is "partial 16S ribosomal RNA". It matches the Rfam family "Bacterial small subunit ribosomal RNA", at positions 26 to 279 of the family's 1533-position model. The record is from RNAcentral.
AGAUUGAACGCUGGCGGCAUGCCUUACACAUGCAAGUCGAACGGCAGCACGGGAGCAAUCCUGGUGGCGAGUGGCGAACGGGUGAGUAAUACAUCGGAACGUGCCCAAUCGUGGGGGAUAACGCAGCGAAAGCUGUGCUAAUACCGCAUAAGAUCUACGGAUGAAAGCAGGGGAUCGCAAGACCUUGCGCGAAUGGAGCGGCCGAUGGCAGAUUAGGUAGUUGGUGAGGUAAAGGCUCACCAAGCCUUCGA